RNAcentral lists this ribosomal RNA (301 nucleotides) under uncultured bacterium. RNAcentral's name for it is "partial 16S ribosomal RNA". It matches the Rfam family "Bacterial small subunit ribosomal RNA", at positions 509 to 807 of the family's 1533-position model. The record is from RNAcentral.
CAGCAGCCGCGGUAAUACGGAGGGCGCGAGCGUUACCCGGAUUUACUGGGCGUAAAGGGCGUGUAGGCGGCCUGGGGCGUCCCAUGUGAAAGGCCAUGGCUCAACCGUGGAGGAGCGUGGGAUACGCUCAGGCUAGAGGGUGGGAGAGGGUGGUGGAAUUCCCGGAGUAGCGGUGAAAUGCGCAGAUACCGGGAGGAACGCCGAUGGCGAAGGCAGCCACCUGGUCCACUUCUGACGCUGAGGCGCGAAAGCGUGGGGAGCAAACCGGAUUAGAUACCCCAGUAGUCCCUGUCUCUUAUAC